This 1172-nucleotide long non-coding RNA is filed under the name Scleropages formosus (Asian bonytongue). RNAcentral describes it as "lncRNA (ENSSFOG00015028780.1)". The record is from RNAcentral. Lineage: Eukaryota; Metazoa; Chordata; Actinopteri; Osteoglossiformes; Osteoglossidae.
CGCCCUCCCCCGUCGGGCGAUCGUCCCCCCGGAGCGCGCCCAGCGACCCAGUGAGACUCAGGGGGAGACCAAAGGCAGGCAGUUCUCACCUAAAUGUGAUCCUCCCCAGCGCUCGGAAGCCCCGGUCCCCCGCGCUUUAGUCCGACGACGCAGAACUUCUCUUCGUGGCGCGCGCAGAUCCAGCUCUCAUGCUGGAAGCUCGACCUCUGAAGCGGGAUUGCGGACGAGCUGGCAGUCCUGCUCAUGCUCGGGGUGUGUGUGUGUGUGUGUGUGUGUGUCUGUGUGUGUGGUAGGGGCGGGGGGGGGCGGGCACGGACGCGGUCGCACGCACGGAUCCUCGGCGGUUGCGGGGCCGGGUUGCGUGCGUGCGUCUGUGCGCGAGAGGAGAGAGAAGGAGACGCGCGGGUUCUCCGGAGAGAAGUGAUGGGGGACGAUGCGUGGAGGUGCCGGGAGGUGGAGGAGGAGAUGCUGCUGGACCGGGCGGUGCGCCACCCUAAGGAGUGCGGGGGAUCCGUGAACUGAAGAGGAUGGGCUGAGUGAAGAGCGGGGCUCGGAGAGAUUGACUGACUGACUGAUUGAUUGAUUGACGACCGAUUGACUGAUAGAUAUGCCUAACAGAAAACCUGCUGCGCACAAUGGACGCUUUUUAGAUCCAGUGAGUAAGCCCUUAUUUGGCAGAAACCUGUGUUUAAAGUUCAGUCGUAGCAGAACAGUUCUGCAUCUCUCUUUUUAGUCCACUGUGACACAAGUAUUAAUAAUUAAUUGUCCCGAAUGCUGCAUUUCACUAUUUCUCUCUUUCGACUUUCAGCAUGUCCUACAGAUCCCCACAUGGCUCUGUCCCUGUCUACCCCCAGACUCUAAUCUCUGCUAACUGUCCACCACAAAAUCUCUGCCGUGGCUUUGGCUGCCGACUCUCUGUGUCGGUCUGGAUGCACUAAAAAUGAUUGCUCAUUUCUCUCUCAUAGUCCCCAAGCUGUGGAAUGGGCUUUCUUCAGAACAUCAAAACUGUGCUCCUCCUUCUGACCUUCAAGAAACACUUGAAGAUCCAUAUAAUCACACAGUUUGGAACUGCUUACAACGAGUUCUAGCUGUACAACCUCAUACGUAAUCUGUGUCGGUAUUGUCUUAUUUGAUUCUUUUAAUAAUUUGAAUAAAAUUGUUACCACCUUCCA